UACGGAGGGUGCAAGCGUUGUUCGGAAUUAUUGGACGUAAAGAGCGUGUAGGCGGCUGAAUAAGUCAGAUGCGAAAUCCCUGGGCUUAACCUGGGAACUGCGCUUAAUACGGAUAGGCUUGAGUCCGGAAGGGGGUGGCGGAAUUCCCAGUGUAGAGGUGAAAUUCGUAGAUAUUGGGAAGAACACCGGUGGCGAAGGCGGCCACCUGGUCCGGAACUGACGCUGAGACGCGAGAGCGUGGGUAGCAAACAGG
RNAcentral lists this ribosomal RNA (253 nucleotides) under uncultured bacterium. RNAcentral describes it as "partial 16S ribosomal RNA". It matches the Rfam family "Bacterial small subunit ribosomal RNA", at positions 524 to 776 of the family's 1533-position model. The record is from RNAcentral.